This 1346-nucleotide ribosomal RNA is filed under the name uncultured bacterium. RNAcentral's name for it is "partial 16S ribosomal RNA". It matches the Rfam family "Bacterial small subunit ribosomal RNA", at positions 28 to 1381 of the family's 1533-position model. The record is from RNAcentral.
GACGAACGCUGGCGGCGUGUUUAACACAUGCAAGUCGAACGGAAAGGCCCUGCUUUUGUGGGGUGCUCGAGUGGCGAACGGGUGAGUAACACGUGAGUAACCUGCCCUUGACUUUGGGAUGACUUCAGGAAACUGGGGCUAAUACCGGAUAGGAGCUCCUGCUGCAUGGUGGGGGUUGGAAAGUUUCGGCGGUUGGGGAUGGACUCGCGGCUUAUCAGCUUGUUGGUGGGGUAGUGGCUUACCAAGGCUUCGACGGGUAGCCGGCCUGAGAGGGUGACCGGCCACAUUGGGACUGAGAUACGGCCCAGACUCCUACGGGAGGCAGCAGUGGGGAAUAUUGCACAAUGGGCGGAAGCCUGAUGCAGCAACGCCGCGUGCGGGAUGACGGCCUUCGGGUUGUAAACCGCUUUCGCCUGUGACGAAGCGUGAGUGACGGUAAUGGGUAAAGAAGCACCGGCUAACUACGUGCCAGCAGCCGCGGUGAUACGUAGGGUGCGAGCGUUGUCCGGAUUUAUUGGGCGUAAAGGGCUCGUAGGUGGUUGAUCGCGUCGGAAGUGUAAUCUUGGGGCUUAACCCUGAGCGUGCUUUCGAUACGGGUUGACUUGAGGAAGGUAGGGGAGAAUGGAAUUCCUGGUGGAGCGGUGGAAUGCGCAGAUAUCAGGAGGAACACCAGUGGCGAAGGCGGUUCUCUGGGCCUUUCCUGACGCUGAGGAGCGAAAGCGUGGGGAGCGAACAGGCUUAGAUACCCUGGUAGUCCACGCUGUAAACGGUGGGUACUAGGUGUGGGGUCCAUUCCACGGGUUCCGUGCCGUAGCUAACGCUUUAAGUACCCCGCCUGGGGAGUACGGCCGCAAGGCUAAAACUCAAAGGAAUUGACGGGGCCCCGCACAAGCGGCGGAGCAUGCGGAUUAAUUCGAUGCAACGCGUAGAACCUUACCUGGGUUUGACAUGGAUCGGGAGUGCUCAGAGAUGGGUGUGCCUCUUUUGGGGUCGGUUCACAGGUGGUGCAUGGCUGUCGUCAGCUCGUGUCGUGAGAUGUUGGGUUAAGUCCCGCAACGAGCGCAACCCUUGUUCACUGUUGCCAGCACGUUAUGGUGGGGACUCAGUGGAGACCGCCGGGGUCAACUCGGAGGAAGGUGGGGAUGACGUCAAGUCAUCAUGCCCCUUAUGUCCAGGGCUUCACGCAUGCUACAAUGGCUGGUACAGAGAGUGGCGAGCCUGUGAGGGUGAGCGAAUCUCGGAAAGCCGGUCUCAGUUCGGAUUGGGGUCUGCAACUCGACCUCAUGAAGUCGGAGUCGCUAGUAAUCGCAGAUCAGCAACGCUGCGGUGAAUACGUUCCCGGGGCU